RNAcentral lists this ribosomal RNA (503 nucleotides) under uncultured bacterium. RNAcentral's name for it is "bacterial SSU rRNA". It matches the Rfam family "Bacterial small subunit ribosomal RNA", at positions 94 to 630 of the family's 1533-position model. The record is from RNAcentral.
AGUGGCGACCAGGUGAGUAAACGUGACUAACCUACCUUCAAGUGGGGAAUAACCUCGGGAAACCGGGGCUAAUACCGCAUAACGUCUUCGGACCAAAGGAGCAAUUCGCUGGAAGAGGGGGUCGCGGCCGAUUAGCUAGUUGGUGGGGUAACGGCCCACCAAGGCUGUGAUCGGUAGCCGGCCUGAGAGGGCGCACGGCCACACUGGAACUGAAACACGGUCCAGACUCCUACGGGAGGCAGCAGUGGGGAAUUUUGCGCAAUGGGGGAAACCCUGACGCAGCAACGCCGCGUGGAGGAUGAAGCCCCUUGGGGUGUAAACUCCUUUCGAUCGGGACGAUAAUGACGGUACCGGAUGAAGAAGCACCGGCUAACUCUGUGCCAGCAGCCGCGGUAAUACAGAGGGUGCAAGCGUUGUUCGGAAUUAUUGGGCGUAAAGGGUGCGUAGGCGGUGCGGUAAGUCUGUUGUGAAAUCUCCGGGCUCAACUCGGAGCUUGCAACGGA